GGACGAACGUGAGGUGUGUGUUGCCCC
Molecule: small RNA, 27 nt
Filed under: Bombyx mori (domestic silkworm)
Lineage: Eukaryota; Metazoa; Arthropoda; Insecta; Lepidoptera; Bombycidae
Description: ovarian small RNA-17281
Source: RNAcentral